AUUGAUCUGUCAUCAGGAAAGUUAUCUUCAUAGUCAAUGUGUGCCUCGGUUUCAUCUAGAAACAUUAAAAAAAACCAACACAAAACACAACACUUAAUUUCUCCAGAAGAGCACUGGGCUCAUUUGUUACAAGAAGCCAAGAAGAAAGGUGCAAUGAAGAGUGACUUCUAGACAGUAAUUUUCAUUCCAUGUGAGCUCUUCAGAGCUGCCCGAAGAAGACCCCACCACCAAAGCUGAUAUUGAAUUUUGCUUAACUUCAUCUGAAGGAAAGAAGAUGCACCCAUGACUGCAAGGAUAGAAAACUCUUGUCUCCAACACUUAAAGCCUAACACCUAGGGAUCAAGAUACACCAUCUGCAAUCAACUCUCAGGCCUCCAAUUUUAAGAAACUUAAUGUUACCAUAAAGAAAAGAGAAAAAAAAUCCCCAAAACCAAACUGGCAAAACCCCCUGAAAGCCUGAAUGCAACAGAGGAGCAGAUUAAUCUCAAAGUUUGAGUUUGAUUUAGAAAUACUCCCCAUGCCUCAACAGACUUACCACUUAUAGCAAAAUAGACUUAACUCAGAGCAUGAAACUAAAUGUUUGAAUUUGAAUGAAAUAAUGCAUUGUAAUUUAUAUUUCUUCCACUCCUCUAAAAGACCUUAGCUCAAUGAAAAUUUUUCCAAACCAGACAGGGUGGUUGAUUUUCAGCUCACACAAGUUUUACUCCACAGAAAGUUGAUGUAAUUGCUGAGAUUUAUGCUGGCAUUACAAGUCCUAGAAAAUAGUGCCUUAGGAUGUGGAAAAUAAAACAAAUGAAUCAUGGUGAGAAUUUUUCUUUUUAAUAGAGUGUUUAGCCUUUCAUGAAGACGGUAAAGCAAUAGACCUGGCAUGACACGGGAAACAAGAAAUUAAUAGGCGAAGCUGUAUUACAAAUCAGUGCAUUCAUAAAGCCUUAUCUUUUUUUGCCUUUUUACACUCAAUCAACUUUGAAUCACAUUUUCAUCUGGGGCCCACCUCAAUUUCCGAAUGAGUCACAUUCUCCUUGGAGACUGCUUCCCAGACUUCUGGCAGAGCCAUAUUUGGUCUACUCUUAAGAAAGAUUAGAAAUAUUGUCAAACCAGUCUGACCAAAACCACUCAGUAGUGAUACAGCUCACACCAGCUUACUUUUUGCCAGAACAACUUAAGCCAGGUGCCAGAAGAGAAUGAGUAUUAGCAAAAGGUAUUUUUCUUGGAAUAGCAUCCGGGUCUACCAGAAACCAAAGCAGUUAUGCUGAGGAAACCAAAAUGUGUGAGUUAAUACCUCUGUGAAAGCUAUCAUGUUGGAGAACUGGAUGUUCUCAGUAGGUCCUCUCACCUCACAGCAAGGGUGUAAGGUAAAACCUGUGCAAGAUACAACAGUGCCAACAAUGGACUUCUCUCCUGCCUGGUCCUGGUGUCCUUAUCUGCUUGUGUAAUCCUCUAGAUCCUCUCCAUCCUCUCCAAAGCAGGAAAAAAGUUCAUCUGGUGCAAAAACAACUUAACAGACAGGAGAAUCCAUCUCUCCAAAGGGAAACCUUCCUGGUAGGACUCUCACUUUUCUAAUUCAUCCUAAAAUAUUUUCCAACAAUAUUUCAGGCUUUUGUUAAUGACUGGAGGGUCCCUCUGAAUACCAAAACAUUUUAGCAACAUAUUUAUGAAGCUCUGUGUGGCACUGGCCAUCAGUACAUAGCACUUAUAACAGCCAUCAAAUGCUAGUCUCACUUUGUCCCUUGUCCCAUUUUCACUGAAGAAUUUUUCUACCUGGUACGCUCUUUGCAUGGAAAUGGUACUUCAAGCCAUUUCGUCCUCUUACCAGCCAGGCUCUUGCUAAAAGUUGGUAUCUGGAAUGCCUGCUUCACUGAAGUCCAGUGUCUCCCAGGGCAGCCUGUAGGAUAUAUAUGCACUGGAACAUCAUAAUGUGAGAACUCACUGUUUACCAACGGUGCUGGUCAUUAUUUCCUUUUUUAAGAUCAAUCAUCAUAUGUCUAUCUUCACCUGUACCUCUGUUUUUGCUACUCAUUUACUUUUCAGACUACAACAAUCCAGCUGAGGAUGAAACAUUGAUUUUUACGUUAUGGUGUUCUAGUGCAUGCACACACAUCCAUGAACAAAAAUUACAUUCAUAUGCUUGGGUUGUUUCCUCCAGAUGUAUUCUUUAGUUAGCAGUGUGAAAAAGGCAGCUAGUAUUCAUCUUAUUUACCAGUACGGAUCAUUGGUGAAUGCUUAACAACUGCAGUAAUAUGGUUUUUAUAGAAUUUGAAGCUCUUCUCCUUUAGUGGUUCUCCUGCCAUGUGCUUUCAGCCCUUCAGAUGAAAGUCCUCUGGAGGCACAUCAGGAAAGAGAAUGUGCUCCUAGGAAAAUACAAGUCCUCAGUCUACCAGAACAUAUUAAGUGUUUGCUGAACUAUCUAUCAAGUCUCCAUCAAACCUGCUGUCUUUGGGCCUGAUCCUGCAUGUAUAGAAAUGAAUCGAUGCUUUCUUAAUGUUCAGCUGAGGAAAGAAAAAGCCCAUUGUAGUCUAAAGAGAGCCUGAGAUUGGAGCUCAUUAUGCACUGCUUGUCACUGCAUAAGGGAGUCUUGUUCCUUCUAACAAUCAGAUUGUGGCCCAAGUUGUAAAGCUGCUAUAAUGUAUUUUCAUAUGCAAUCUCCUGUAUUUGUAUAGUUUAUAGCAAAGACUAUCAACAUAACUAAUGUUUGUGUAUAGGAUGGCAGAAUGAAAGCAGCUAUUGAGCUCUCCAACCAUCAAAGGAAAUACAGACCCCCUGACUCUGAAGCUUUGAUUUAUAUGAUCCUGAAUUGACUUACACAGUAAUAAUACUCUAUUCUUUCUUCUGGGCCUCAGACCUUCAAAUGGGGCCUGGACUUAGUGUUUAGUGAUUUUGUGUUACCAUGACAAUCUUUUAAGUCAGCCAUGAGCUUGAUUUUCCAGAACAGAUUGCACAACUUUUGCACUUCUUUUUGCUCACCUCCUCAGCACUUACCUGAGCUUUACAGCUCCCUGAAUUUUAGUCUCAGUACUGAAAAGCCACAACCAAACUAGAUUCAAUUCCACCUCUUAUCCAAAUAGUUGUAAUCUAUGUUUAUAUUUAUACACAUUUUAAAAACAGCUAGCAACUGGUUUAAAAGUGGUUGUAUCUUCCUUCCUAUCCAGGCAGGUCUGUUUUUAAGAAGAGCCAGCACUGAAAUGAAUUAGUCCAAGACCAAAAUCUUCCUAUAUUUGGUCAUUGUGACAUCUUACCCCUACCCUCCUCUGGCAGACUCAAUGAUCAGGGAGUUUUGAUUUACUGUCUGCGGGAUUACUGAGGCUGAAAUGAACAUUUUACAGCAACAGAAGCUGAAAUGGCACACUACCAAAGAUGUGAAACUCAAUUAAAAGAUUUACCAACUGUAUGAUUGUACCUUGUAUCCUGGGUGCCAGAAUGGACUGUAUCUCUUCUAACUGGAUCAAAACAGAGAGGAAAUAUGAUCAUAAAGCUACUUCAAAGAACAUGUUCCCAAAGGUGAGAGCAAACACCAUGUUUUCAUUUCAGCAGCCUGCUCUGUAGCAACUGUGUGGCUUCAUGUGAAAAUAAACAUAGCAGAAGAUAUACAAAACCUGCAUUGUGCACUCUAUCUGGUAAACAAUGUCUUUGGCUCUCUGAUGCUGCCUGGGAGCAGCUUUUGAUCUACUCUGAAGAAAAUACCUCUGGCAUUUCUGUACCAUCAGUAGGAAUCCCUUACCUUGAGUAAACUAAGUACAUAGAAAAGUUAUAAGCCUCACCCAGUAGCAGAAUGAGCACACACAAGAUUAUAAACAACUGAUUUCCAGAAAGGGGCUGAUUCUGAUAUUAAAUACACAAGUGAAGAAUCUUCCCAAAGGUUGUUUUCUAGUAAUUAAAAAUUAUGUUCAGUACUAAAGAAAAAGGGCAAUUGCAGGGGGAAAGAAGGAAGAUGGUGGACUGGAAAGCAGGAGCUGAAUGCUAACCCUGGGAUAAGACUCAGUGAAUCCCCAAAAUGGGGUAGCAGAUACAGAUAAAAUAAAUAUGGCAUAAAA
Strigops habroptila (Kakapo) is the source of this 4031-nucleotide long non-coding RNA. RefSeq lists it as uncharacterized. NCBI's taxonomy places the organism in Eukaryota, Metazoa, Chordata, Aves, Psittaciformes, Psittacidae. The transcript is spliced from 3 exons. The record is from RefSeq and is a predicted model, not a curated record.